AAGUCGUAACAAGGUUUCCGUAGGUGAACCUGCGGAAGGAUCAUUAAUGAAUGAUAAUUUUUUGGGGUUUUCCCUGAAAAAUAAUUCACCUUUUGUGCAUUGUUAUUAGAUGUACUUUGGUUAGAGCUUUGAUGUCAUUUAUUGGAAUCAACUUCUUGCUGACUCUAUCCUAUUAUAUGGGACAGUUGGCUAUGAAGCGGCCUACCAAGGUUUUUUAUCAAACUCUUGUAUUUUGUCUGACCUAAAAUAUCAAUAAUUAAAUCAUAACUUUCAACAACGGAUCUCUUGGCUCUC
This 294-nucleotide unclassified non-coding RNA is filed under the name fungal sp. RNAcentral describes it as "partial internal transcribed spacer region". The stretch from base 1 to 46 matches the Rfam family "Eukaryotic small subunit ribosomal RNA", at positions 1786 to 1831 of the family's 1831-position model. Lineage: Eukaryota; Fungi. The record is from RNAcentral.